RNAcentral lists this ribosomal RNA (539 nucleotides) under uncultured Cytophagaceae bacterium. RNAcentral's name for it is "bacterial SSU rRNA". It matches the Rfam family "Bacterial small subunit ribosomal RNA", at positions 96 to 633 of the family's 1533-position model. The record is from RNAcentral. Lineage: Bacteria; Pseudomonadati; Bacteroidota; Cytophagia; Cytophagales; Cytophagaceae.
UGGCGCACGGGUGCGUAACGCGUAACCAACCUGCCCGCCACUGGGGGAUAGCCCGCUGAAAGGCGGAUUAAUACCGCAUGCGCUUGGCGCCCGGCAUCGGGGGCCGAGCAAAGAUUUAUCGGUGGUGGAUGGGGUUGCGUGCCAUUAGCUGGUUGGUGGGGCAACGGCCCACCAAGGCGACGAUGGCUAGGGGAGCUGAGAGGCUGGUCCCCCACACGGGCACUGAGACACGGGCCCGACUCCUACGGGAGGCAGCAGUAGGGAAUAUUGGGCAAUGGAAGCGAUUCUGACCCAGCCAUGCCGCGUGCCGGACGAAGGCCUUCUGGGUCGUAAACGGCUUUUACCGGGGAAGAAUAAGGCGCGUGCGCGCGCCGACGACGGUACCCGGGGAAUAAGCACCGGCUAACUCCGUGCCAGCAGCCGCGGUAAUACGGAGGGUGCGAGCGUUGUCCGGAUUUAUUGGGUUUAAAGGGUGCGUAGGCGGCCGGGUAAGUCUGGGGUGAAAGCCCGCUGCCCAACAGCGGAACCGCCCCGGAAAC